This 460-nucleotide ribosomal RNA is filed under the name uncultured bacterium. Its description in RNAcentral is "partial 16S ribosomal RNA". It matches the Rfam family "Bacterial small subunit ribosomal RNA", at positions 338 to 795 of the family's 1533-position model. The record is from RNAcentral.
CCUACGGGUGGCAGCAGUGAGGAAUAUUGGUCAAUGGGCGCAACCCUGAACCAGCCAAGUAGCGUGAAGGAUGACUGCCCUACGGAUUGUAAACUUCUUUUAUAGAGGAGUAAAUUACGGCACGUGUGCCUUUUUCUCUGUCCUUUAUGAAUAAGGAUCGCCUAACUCCGUGCCAGCAGCAGCGGUAAUCCGGAGUUACCGUGCGUUAUCCGGAUUUAUUGGGUUUAAAGGGUGCGUAGAUGGAUUGUUAAGUCAGUUGUGAAAGUUUGGGGCUCAACCGUAAAAUUGAAGUUGAGGCUGGCAGUCUGGAUUACAGUAGAGGUGGGCGGAAUUCGUAGUGUAGCGGUGAAAUGCGUAGAUAUCACGAAGAACUCCGAUUGCGAAGACAGUUCACUGGACUGUAACUGACACUGAGGCUCGAAAGUGUGGGGAUCAAACAGGAUUAGAUACCCCAGUAGUC